AGACAUUGGCAGGGAGCUGGUAUUCAACCUAAGGCAAUUCUCUGGAGAAGGGGCAGCAAUAUGAGCUGUCAGCAACCAACUCUUGUACGCAUGCGUGGUGAACGGAAUCUGGGUGGAGCAUCCCAGCAUCUACUACAGGCCACUCCAGUCCUCUCCUGAAUAGGCUAAAGAUAGAAGUUGAUCUCAACUAUAAGCAACUCUGGGCUACUUAAAAGGGCCUGUUUUUGUGGCAGAGGAGCAACAGCAGAGCAGCUGAGAGCAGGUGUGCCUGGAUCCUGGCUCUGCCACUACCUGGCAGUGUGAUCUCUGAGAUGCUGCCAUGCUAUGUUGCCCAGACCAGACUCAAGAGAUCCUCCUGCCUUAGGCCCCCAAAGUGUUGGCAUUACAGGUACAAGCUGCCACAUCUGGCCAAUCUUUCCCAAAUUCUAAUGCACACCCACCCCCAAAACACCCAAAUCCAAAAAAGAGCGGCGAUGGGAACUGCUUCGUUGUGCCAGAGGAGGGCUCCUGUUGUGUAAUCACUUUAACAAGACAAACGAACAAUUAUUCCAAACAAUUAUUCCCACUUCAGCUACACUCCUUAAAUUUAUCUGCAGCAACUUCCGAUUUGAAACACUGAAAACACAAACACAAGAACACUUCAAGUACGGGGAACCCAGGGUAAUGUAGCAGCUUUGCCUGGCUUGGCACUAAUAUAGAUGUAAACAUUUAGAAAGUAUUUACUGUCCACUGACCCAGUAGCUGGCCCCUUGGGCCCUCAGAUGCCUGCUCAGACAUCCUGGGUGCCAGAGAAGAAGCACCUUCCAGUUGUAUGAUCAGAAAACUGAGCCCACGGGCCACUUUAGCUUCUCCCCCACUCACAUCCCAGCACAGCUGCCCUUUCCUCCCACAAGACAGAGCCCAGCUAGUCUCCAUGGGGUGGGCAGAUUCAGCAAGCACCUGCCUGCCCAGCACUUGAGACAGAAGCUCACCUGCUAAAGGAUCAGGGGAGGGUCUGAACACCAGGAGAGGGCAGUAAGAGGUUCUGGCCCAAAGAUCUCAGAGCUGCAAGUGACACUUCACAUCUAAGUGACUCUGGUCUUUUGGCAGACAUGAAAAGGGAGCUUUAUGCUCCAAUGGAGAUUUUUUUCCCCUUACCCACAAGGUAUUCUGAGGGAGGGGGGAGUUUUUAAAAGAUUCUUUGGCGCGAGGAAGAGAAGAAAACACAGGAAGGGCAGGGCGCAGUGGCACACGCCUGUAAUCCUAACACUUUAGGAGGCCAGGAGCUUGAUAAUAGCUUGGGCAAUAGCAAGACCUUGUCUCUACUAAAAAUUAAAAAAAAAAAAAUUAGUUGGGUAUGGUGGCACAUGCCUGUAGUCCCAGCUACUCAGAAGGCUGAGGCAGGAAGACUACUUGACUUCAACAACUGGGCGCUCUUGUGAGCUAUGAUGAUGCCACUCGCCCAGGCAAAAAAGUAAAAGUCUGUCUCAAAAAAGAGAGGAGAGAAGAGAAUAGACAAAACGUAGAGCUCUUCAUGCAGCAGCUGGGAUGGCGAGCUGGGCAGGAGUCCUGGCCCCCACUGCAGGACAAAGGCUUGAGGGCACUGUCAGCCGGGAGGGCCAGGCUCUUCCUGCUAAACAGAGGCUGGAGUUUCUUGGCCCCUUUGUGCAACCGCCUCAGGGUCAAAGAAGUAAAUGAUUUUCAUGCCUCAGCUCUGGCUCUGUCUCUAAGGUGCCAGACCCAAACCCGAGGGGCACGGGUAGGGGGAAUGAAAGACACGGGGGGAAAUCAGCAAGAAAUGCUUUCUCUGGAGCCCUCUGCAGAAGCCCAGGGGCUGCCUGACCAUCCCGAAGGCUCCUAAAUUGGAAUUCUGCCUAUUGUCACCCUUCACUUGGUCCAGAAGUAUCUCCGUCUAGCAGUAGCACUUCUGUCCUAUGGACAUUUAACUAUGCUAUGUUUUUUCUAUGCCCACCUCCCCUCUCAGAGGGGAGCAAACAUUUACUUCUCUUUGACGUGACAAGGUAGUCAGUGCCAUGAUAUGCUCAGCUGGGCACUGAAGUGAGAACAGGCAACAGAAAGCUGAAGGGCCUGGGUGAGGGCAGCCCUCCAAACACCCAUCCCCAUGCCCCCCAGCUGGCCAGGGAGCCCACCGUGCCGUGCUCAGAGUUCUCUAGGAGCUGAAUCAAAACAUGGAACUUAAGAUCAGACACCCCAGAGACAAACUUGGCCAACUCAGACCAUUUCCAAGGCCAGUAAGAUGUGCCACUUGGCGCCCCCCCCCGAUAUGGGCUAUAGGGGCACAGCACACUGCAGGGGCUUGGUUGACUACAGGCCUGGGGGUGGCAGUCAGCUUUAGGGCAGAGCACUUCACUUAAAAUUGAGAAAAAGCUUGAUCGUCCAUACUAAAGACAGACCACAGGGUUGGGGGUGGGUGGGGUGUAUAAGGAGGUGUUGGGUCAGUAGGUAUGUGCCUCAGAGCUCUAGGCUGCACUGCUGACUGGCACAGGCAAACAGCCUAAGGAGCUCUCCUGUCAACAACUAUCUUGGAUGAGAUGUUCUCACAGACUCCUCUCAGGGACAGAAGCGGGGGUCUCUGAGGCACCCAGUCUCAGCACCUCACCAGGGUCAGGAGGGUCCAUCAUGCAGCCACUAAGGCACCCUCACCACUCCCAGGGUUCUCUUCUGAUUAACAGCUGGCCUCUGCACCAGACCUCAUAGGCGGCUGGGCUUUCUCCUGGCUUCCAGCCCAACCCAAUUCUAGGGUGUGACCUGUCGAUCUGUAAUAGAAACUUAUCUCCUGCCAGUAGCUACCCACAGUUAGGCUGGCUACUAACGGCUCUGGGUGAGUCAAAGGACACCAUCUUGGUGAUGGAAAAAAACCCUGACAACUUGCAGAGAAAAGAGAAAGCCAGGCCUCAGGGUAGAGGGUGAAGGUCUUCAGGAAUCAUAACACCCAGUAUGAUUUUAUUUGUUUCUAUGACUAGAGGUGCUGGUGACCUGAGAAGCACUGACUUUGGCAAUGGAAGGACUACUGGACGCAGUGUCAGAAGCCCAAUUUGUAGCAGGACUCUGCACAUCCCACUGAGAUUGAAAAAAGGAAGAAACCAUACCACCUGCAGAGUUUCAUGCGUAUUACCAAAGAGAAAGUAUGUUGAAACACUGCUUAAUGAUUUUUGAGUUGAAAUGGAAACUUGACAUGGGAGCGCAAUUUUCCUUCUGCUGAUAAUUAAGAAAAUGAGUAAAAAACAUCUAUACAUAUAGAGUAAAAAAAGCAAGCCUCCCCCUCAAAAAAAUUAACAACUAAGCAAGGAAGUGGGCACAACCAGAUAUGUUAACCUCAAACACAAAGGCAAGGCAAGAAAAGAAGCCCCCCCCCCGACCCCCUGUGGCUCAGCCAUGUUCCUGGCCCACCCACAAUUAAUGCAGAUGCACCAAUGGACAAGAGCAGAACUGGGAGAAUUCUCACCAAGGUCCCCAAAUCUGGGGAGAGGCAAACUGCCACCAGUACACUUCACUGUCAAUUGAGAAGUAGUGGGCAAAACUACCUGGAAGGAGCAGAGAAAGAUACACCGGUACAUGAAUCAUGAGCUGACUCUGAAGGAAGAAAGGCCUCAGGGCCACACGCAAGGAAACUGUCCAACUCCAAAGUCCAGGGACUAUUCCUCCCCCUCCAACAGAAAUGGAACACACCUCCAAAUAAGUGGGCUGAGCACACUGCAGGCACCAUUAACUAACUUGUGCACCGAGGACAGGUCCCUCUCCCCAUUCACCUCUUCCUUUAGGCUACAAGGCACAGACCACCAGUGCCCUGCCCUUAGCACUCCUGGUGUUGAUGUGGGGAGGACACAUCAGCCUCGACCUGGGGAGAGGAAAGCUACGCUCUUACUUUAGAGCCAAGAGAACAUCUGCGUAGAACAGCACGCGCACGAACAAGGUGAGAAGACAAACCAAGGCGAACCAAGCAAAAGACAAAGAUGUCAACCUAAAGCAAACCACAACUCCAGAGAAAGUAAGUCCCCAUACGGCUUCACACCUAGAAAUGACUUAAUCAGAACAGGAAUUUGAUGAAACAAAAGCUCAAAGAUGAGAUUAUAAAACAAAAUGAGAUAAAAAGAGAGGAAGGCUUACAUCAAGAGGAAGAAAACAUUGAAAACUAAUAAAUAAAAUACAAUGGAUAGAGAACAAUACUUUGCCAGUCAUUUAAAAUAGAGAUACUAGACGGCGCCAUGGCUCAGUGAGUAGGGCGCUGGCCCCAUAUAUCAAGGGUGGUGGGUUCAAACCCGGCCCCGGCCAAACUGCAACAAAAAAAUAGCCAGGUGUUGUGGCGGGCGCCUGUAGUCCCAGCUACUCGGGAGGCUGAGGCAAGAGAAUCGCCUAAGCCCAAGAGCUGGAGGUUGCUGUGAGCUGUGAUGCCACAGCACUCUACUGAGGGUGACAAAGUGAGACUCUGUCUCAAAAAAUAAUAAUAAUAAUAAAAGUUUUUUUAAAAAAGAAGACUAAUGAUUAAGCAUUAAAACUCUUUAAGAAAUAAUAAAAAAAGUAAUUAUGGGAUUAGACAGAGGACACAAUGUGAAUGUUAUAAAAAAUGGACAAUUUAGGCUGGGUAUGGUGGCUCAUGCCUAUAAUCCUAGCACUCCGGGGGCUGAGGCCUGUGGAUCACUUGAGCUCAGGAGUUCAAGGCUAGCCAGAGUAAAAAAAAGACUUAUCUCUACCAAAACAGAAAAUCUAGCCGGGUAUGGUGGCGAACGCCUGGAGUCCCAGCUACUCAGGAGGCUGAGGCAAGAGUCUGAGGUUGCUGUAAGCUAUGAUACCGCGGCACUCUACCCAGGGUGACAGAGUAAGACGCUGUCUCAAAAAAAAAGGAAAGAAAGAAAAAGAAAAAGAAAAGACAGCUUAAUAAUAUGUAAUUAAUACCAUCAGCACAGGAGGGGAAAGGAGAUCAGGAAAAAAAGGUGAAAAUUCUAAUGUCCUCAUUUUUUAUAGCAAAGAGUCAACAGAUACUGUCUCAAAUGGAAACAAGUAAUUACAAAUAUGAGUCACAACUAUUUUCUUUACUGGGGUCUCUUGGGAAAUUAUCUGUUAUGAAAAACAUGCUUCCUUUAACGCUUACUAAUUAAUUUUCCCGCGGUUUAUUUUUCUUCUGUUACGUUCAGGAGAACAUUCAUACCUUCUUAUUUUUACAUCCAUUUCUCUGUAUCUGUUUAUCUGCAAGCAAGGCUGGAAGAACACCUGGGAUAACGUUCACCUGGAAUUAGUGACAGCCCUUUCUGAGUAGUGGCCUUUGGAGUCUUUGGGGUUGUUUGUUUUAACAUCAACCUAUUUAUGCGUCCCAAUCAGUAUACCCCAGACAGGGGUAUAAGAAAAUGUGGGUGAUUAUUUUUAUAAUCGAGGAGUAAGUGUGGCACAAAACCAAAGAAGCAAGAUUGGUUUGGCCCACAGAAGGAAGUACAAAAGCUGCCGCAUUAGCGUUCUGCAAGUACUUAAUUGGUAUACUCUCAAUAUUUUGGGUCAAACUAACAACGAUAGUCAUCUGUUUAAGUCUCAGCAUAAGCAGUUAGAAAACCAGUAGUCUCAGCUUGGAGGCUUCUCUGAGGUUCAAAGAGCUUUAAGAAAAAUCACCCGACCUGUGGCCCUCCUCCACUCACCAAAUGAACAUUGUCCAUGAGGCCACUCUUCCCUAGGGCAAGCCAUCCUAAGCUAGACAUGUCACCCCAGAAAAGAGCAAAUGUUACAGCUGGGAAACCAAUUCCUGCUCGGCCUUUUGGCCCACUGCUCUGGUUCCUCACGCCCUCCCAUCUAACUACUCUCCUCCAUUCCCUAAAAGGAUGUGUUCUCACUCCCGGCUCCACUCUCAGGACCUCAGCCUCAAGUUUUGGCACAGCCAAAGACCACCCAAGCUGGAAGAUUUCUCCAGUCAGUACAGGAGGCCAGCAGAGCCCAGUCUCUGCCCAUGAAACCUCACGCUGCUGGGAGGGCCAGGAUGGGAAAACUUAGGAAAAACAAAAAUCUGUGAUGACCCAGAAGCAGGGAACAAAAUUAAAACCAGCAGUCUGCUGCUCACGAACCAGUAUUUACUGAGCCCCUGUUGUGUGUGUGUGUGUGUGUGUGUCAGCAUCUGUGGGAGGAGGUGAGGAGGGCAGAGACUGUGGUGAGAGCCCAGGGCAGCCAGCAGACAGGCAGAAUAGCUUAUUUAGCCCCUUGCUGUGAGUGUAAUGACAGCCAAGCCCAGGAGCCAGGGCCAGAAGGAGGAGGGAGGGAGCCUAUUUGCCAGGCUCCCCAGCUGCAGCCCUGCCAAGCUAAGCCUGAGCUUGACUAAGCAGAAAGUGCUCCCAAAAUGGACUGAGUCAGGCAGGCGAAAACAGGAGAGCUGGAAAGGGCCCCAGAGCCAGCCAGGGCCCCCCUUUCCGGGACUCUUCCCAACCACAGGCCAGGGGCAAAGUCACCUCUAUUCUCAUCAUUUGCCAUCAACAUUUCCCAGACUCAAUUGCAAAAUGUUGACCUGUGGUCCAAGUGCACUCCUGUUUGUCAGACCACGGGGGCCCGGCAUGUGGCUUAGGAAACAUGGUACUCACAACCUACCACUUACGUCACCCACUUGAGCAAAACUCCCUGCCUUGUCAUUCACAGUCAAAUAAAUAAAUAAAAAGCACGAUGUAGUGGCUAAAUCAUCAGACAGCAUGACACGGCAAACAGACCUGAGUUCAACUGGGGUCUGCCACUAACUUCCCCUGUGUGCCCAGCACAAUUAAACCGUGAUCCCACCAAGCUCACAGGAGCACUCUGAUAAAUAAGACAGAGCUUAAAGGACACAUACAGCACAGCACAGCACAGCACUUGAGGUCAGCUGCUCCCUAGAUCCCAGUCUUCCAAGUUCUCAGGUCAAUACCCUCACGCGGCCAAGGAUUCUGCUUACCCUCAGGUCAGCGCAAUUACCUCCUCUUCCAGGAAGCCUUCUUAGACCACUCUUUCAGCACUUUUCUCCAACUGUUUUGGACGCCUAAUUAACCACCUAGUCUCCCAGGGAGCCUCCCCAUAUAGAUUUUCAUGGCUUGAAGGCAGGGAGGGUCCUUGCCUGCCAUUUCUUCUAAGUCUUCAUCUCUCUGCUUCCCAGACCACAGUGCCAGGCACCGUGCUGGACACACACAGGGCUAGAAGAAGAGAAAGUUAACCUUCCUUCUCACUGCUCUCUGCCUGUGCCCGACGGCCUGAUGAAGAGCGGGAAGCAAAGCUCAUGUACCUCCUUCCACAGUCUAUCGUCCCAUGACCACAGACCAAGUAUAACCCAGAUCAUCUGAAGUCAGCUGUCAUCACCACACAUCACACUCUCUUCUUCUCUUGCCUAAACAACCCCCUUACCUUGAAUUCCAUUUCUAUUAACUGAACUAAAAGCAAGCUUACACCUACCAUGCUUUUAAAACUCAGUCCAUGAGUUCACUGAACAAAUAUUCACUGCCUACCAGUGAUGGACCAGUUAUUAUGCCAGGUAUUAGGGUUGCAAAGGAUAUACCUAGUACCUACCCUUGCACAGUAGGGAAAGCAAACAAGUCAACAAGAACCCUACCAGAACAAAGAUGACAAGGGUGAUAUACAGGUUAGAGUUCAGUUGAGCAAUUUAAGCAGUGAAAGAUUUUGCACAGGAUAUUAAAUGGCUUAGAGGCUCAGUGCCCAUAGGUCAGUGGUUAGGGUGCCAGCCACAUGCACCAGGGCUGGUAGGUUCAAACCCAGCCAGGGCCUGCUAAACAACUACAACAAUAACAACAACAACAACAACAAAAAUAGCCGGGCGUUAUGGCAGGUGCCUGUAGUCCUAGCUACUUGGGAGGCCGAGGUAAGAGAAUCACCUAGCCCAAGAGUUUGAAGUUGCUGUGAGCUGUGAUGCCACAGCACUCUACCUAGGGCGACAGCUUGAGACUCUGUCUCAAAAAAAAAAAAGAAAAAGAAAAAGAAGCUGUGUCUCCAGAACUGUGCCCUUCCCAUGAUCCACAAUUGAGGCAAGACAGACUUCUCAGUGCUCAUCCUGAGGAAGAUGAUGCCUCGCCUCUUCCUAUAGGACUGUUACACGUUUAAGUUCAAAUGCAUCUAAGUGAGAGAAUCUAAAUCAUGUGGAGAAUUUUAGUACAAGGGUAUCCAGAAUGUAGUUUUUGAUUCUCUACUUUUAGUAAGUUGGACCAUAAUUUAUUACCGGAAGGAGGCACUAUAGGACAGACACCGUGG
Molecule: long non-coding RNA, 8193 nt
Organism: Nycticebus coucang (slow loris)
Lineage: Eukaryota; Metazoa; Chordata; Mammalia; Primates; Lorisidae
Exons: 4
Source: RefSeq, a predicted model, not a curated record